Molecule: ribosomal RNA, 336 nt
Filed under: uncultured bacterium
Lineage: Bacteria
Description: partial 16S ribosomal RNA
Rfam family: Bacterial small subunit ribosomal RNA
Source: RNAcentral
CCUACGGGAGGCAGCAGUAGGGAAUCUUCCACAAUGGGCGAAAGCCUGAUGGAGCAACGCCGCGUGGGUGAAGAAGGUCUUCGGCUCGUAAAACCCUGUUGUUAGAGAAGAAAGUGCGUGAGCGUAACUGUUCACGUUUCGACGUUAUCUAACCCGCUAGCCACGGCUAACUACGUGCCAGCCGCCGCGGUAAUACGUAGGUGGCAAGCGUUCUCCGGAUUUAUUGGGCGUAAAGGGAACGCAGGCGGUCUUUUAAGCCUGAUGUGAAAGCCUUCGGCUUAACCGGAGUAGUGCAGUGGAAACUGGGUGACUUGAGUGCAGAAGAGGAGAGAGGAA